UACGUAGGCAGCAAGCGUUGUUCGGAGUUACUGGGCGUAAAGAGUGUGUAGGCGGUUGGGUAAGUUCGGUGUGAAAUCUCCCGGCUUAACUGGGAGGGUGCGCCGAAGACUGCCUGGCUUGAGUGCGGGAGAGGAAAGCGGAAUUCCUGGUGUAGCGGUGAAAUGCGUAGAUAUCAGGAGGAACGCCUGCGGUGUAGACGGCUUUCUGGACCGUGACUGACGCUGAGACACGAAAGUGUGGGUAGCAAACAGG
RNAcentral lists this ribosomal RNA (253 nucleotides) under uncultured bacterium. Its description in RNAcentral is "partial 16S ribosomal RNA". It matches the Rfam family "Bacterial small subunit ribosomal RNA", at positions 524 to 776 of the family's 1533-position model. The record is from RNAcentral.